Molecule: non-coding RNA, 171 nt
Organism: Arachis ipaensis
Lineage: Eukaryota; Viridiplantae; Streptophyta; Magnoliopsida; Fabales; Fabaceae
Source: RefSeq, a predicted model, not a curated record
GCUGGUCAAGCUUACACAAAGGCACUUGAGGUUGCCAGGAAUAUCAAUGAGAAGGGGACCAAUGUGGUUCUGAUUUGAUGUAAAUAGGCACCCGCACCACAGCUCGACGGCAAGUCUCGCAACGAUACUUUCGAUCUUGACUUUGAAGAAUGACUUCAAGCAGUUAGAAGG